This 884-nucleotide ribosomal RNA is filed under the name uncultured bacterium. Its description in RNAcentral is "bacterial SSU rRNA". It matches the Rfam family "Bacterial small subunit ribosomal RNA", at positions 28 to 896 of the family's 1533-position model. The record is from RNAcentral.
GACGAACGCUGGCGGCGUGCUUAACACAUGCAAGUCGAACGCGAAAGGCUCUUCGGAGCCGAGUAGAGUGGCGAACGGGUGAGUAACACGUGGGCAACCUGCCCCAAGGAGCGGGACAACCCGGGGAAACUCGGGCUAAUACCGCAUGAUUCGCCGGCACUCAAGUGCCGGCGGCAAAUGGUAGCUUCGGCCUCCGCCUUGGGAUGGGCCCGCGGCGCAUUAGCUUGUUGGUGAGGUAACGGCCCACCAAGGCGACGAUGCGUAGCUGGUCUGAGAGGACGAUCAGCCACACUGGGACUGAGACACGGCCCAGACUCCUACGGGAGGCAGCAGUGGGGAAUCUUGCGCAAUGGGCGGAAGCCUGACGCAGCAACGCCGCGUGUGGGAAGACGGCCUUCGGGUUGUAAACCACUUUCAGGGGGGACGAAGCUUCCGAGGUUAAUAGCCUACGGGGUGACGGUACCCCCAGAAGAAGCCCCGGCUAACUACGUGCCAGCAGCCGCGGUAAUACGUAGGGGGCGAGCGUUGUCCGGAAUCAUUGGGCGUAAAGCGCGUGUAGGCGGCUCGAUAAGUCCGGUGUGAAACCUUGGGGCUCAACCCCAAGCCUGCACUGGAUACUGCCGAGCUAGAGUCCGGGAGGGGAGAGCGGAAUUCCUAGUGUAGCGGUGAAAUGCGCAGAUAUUAGGAAGAACACCGGUGGCGAAGGCGGCUCUCUGGAACGGUACUGACGCUGAGACGCGAAAGCGUGGGGAGCGAACAGGAUUAGAUACCCUGGUAGUCCACGCCGUAAACGAUGGGCACUAGAUGUGGGGCGGUGUCGACUCCGUCCGUGUCGAAGCUAACGCAUUAAGUGCCCGGCCUGGGGGAGUACGGCCGCAAGGCUA